Molecule: ribosomal RNA, 429 nt
Filed under: Acidobacteriota bacterium
Lineage: Bacteria; Pseudomonadati; Acidobacteriota
Description: Acidobacteria bacterium partial 16S ribosomal RNA
Rfam family: Bacterial small subunit ribosomal RNA
Source: RNAcentral
UGGGGAAUUUUGGACAAUGGGGGAAACCCUGAUCCAGCCAUCCCGCGUGUGCGAUGAAGGCCUUCGGGUUGUAAAGCACUUUUGGCAGGAAAGAAACGUCAUGGGUUAAUACCCCGUGAAACUGACGGUACCUGCAGAAUAAGCACCGUCUAACUACGUGCCAGCAGCCGCGGUAAUACGUAGGGUGCAAGCGUUAAUCGGAAUUACUGGGCGUAAAGCGUGCGCAGGCGGUUCGGAAAGAAAGAUGUGAAAUCCCAGAGCUAAACUUUGGAACUGCAUUUUUAACUACCGGGCUAGAGUGUGUCAGAGGGAGGUGGAAUUCCGCGUGUAGCAGUGAAAUGCGUAGAUAUGCGGAGGAACACCGAUGGCGAAGGCAGACUCCUGGGAUAACACUGACGCUCAUGCACGAAAGCGUGGGGAGCAAACAGG